This 586-nucleotide ribosomal RNA is filed under the name uncultured bacterium. RNAcentral describes it as "bacterial SSU rRNA". It matches the Rfam family "Bacterial small subunit ribosomal RNA", at positions 338 to 916 of the family's 1533-position model. The record is from RNAcentral.
CCUACGGGAGGCAGCAGUGGGGAAUUUUGGACAAUGGGCGCAAGCCUGAUCCAGCCAUGCCGCGUGCGGGAAGAAGGCCUUCGGGUUGUAAACCGCUUUUGUCAGGGAAGAAAUCCUUUGGGCUAAUACCUCGGAGGGAUGACGGUACCUGAAGAAUAAGCACCGGCUAACUACGUGCCAGCAGCCGCGGUAAUACGUAGGGUGCGAGCGUUAAUCGGAAUUACUGGGCGUAAAGCGUGCGCAGGCGGUUAUGCAAGACAGAUGUGAAAUCCCCGGGCUUAACCUGGGAACUGCAUUUGUGACUGCAUAGCUCGAGUACGGCAGAGGGGGAUGGAAUUCCGCGUGUAGCAGUGAAAUGCGUAGAUAUGCGGAGGAACACCGAUGGCGAAGGCAAUCCCCUGGGCCUGUACUGACGCUCAUGCACGAAAGCGUGGGGAGCAAACAGGAUUAGAUACCCUGGUAGUCCACGCCCUAAACCGAUGUCAACUGGUUGUUGGACGGCUUGCUGUUCNGUAACGAAGCUAACGCGUGAAGUUGACCGCCUGGGGAGUACGGCCGCGAGGUUGAAACUCAAAUGAAUUGACGG